Molecule: non-coding RNA, 899 nt
Organism: Epinephelus lanceolatus (giant grouper)
Lineage: Eukaryota; Metazoa; Chordata; Actinopteri; Perciformes; Serranidae
Source: the annotation of a RefSeq genome assembly
CACGCUGACAGCACAAUGAUGAUGUCACUGAUUCUACUGCUGGCCACCCUGGGGCUCCUUGUUCAGGAUUCAUCAGGAGAAAUCAUCCUGACUCAGUCUCCUGGAUCUCAGUCUGUUGUUCCAGGACAGACUGUCUCUAUCACAUGUAAAGCCAGUUCAGAUAUGAACCGCUACCUUCACUGGUACCUUCAGAAACCUGGAGAGUCUUCCAAACUUCUAAUUUAUCAGGCUACGACUCGUCAGUCUGGUGUUUCAGAUCGUUUCAGUGGAAGUGGAUCUGGGACUGACUUCACUCUGACCAUCAGUGGAGUUCAGACUGAAGAUGCAGGAGACUCAUAUUGUCAAUAUUAUGCAGUACAUAACAUUCAACAUGUGCACACGUUCGGUGGAGGAACCAGACUGGAUGUUGGAAGUGAUGUCCGUCCCACCCUGACGGUGCUGCCCCCCUCCAGUGAGGAGCUGCAGCAGGGGAAGGCCACGCUCAUGUGUCUGGCCAACAAGGGCUUCCCCUCAGACUGGAGUCUGGCCUGGAAGGUGGACGGCAGCAGCAGCAGCAGCAGCAGCAGCAGCUGGGAGGAGAGCAGGAGCCCUGGGGUGCUGGAGAAGGACGGCCUCUACAGCUGGAGCAGCACCCUGAGGCUCCCUGCAGACCAGUGGAGGAAGGUGGGCUCUGUGACCUGUGAGGCCACCCAGGGCUCCCAGACUCCACUCUCAGAGACACUGAGGAGAGACCAGUGUUCCCAGUCCUGACCUGACUCACUGGGACUCUGCUGCUGGUUUUACUCUGCUACUGCUCUCAGUCUGCUCUCUGUCUCUCUCAUGACGUUUCAGUGUGAACAUGUUCUUGCUUGUGUUGAUGGUUUCAAUAUCUCAAAGCAAUAAAGAUUUGAUCAAAUGUA